Pristis pectinata (smalltooth sawfish) is the source of this 1681-nucleotide long non-coding RNA. RefSeq lists it as uncharacterized. NCBI's taxonomy places the organism in Eukaryota, Metazoa, Chordata, Chondrichthyes, Rhinopristiformes, Pristidae. The transcript is spliced from 3 exons. The record is from RefSeq and is a predicted model, not a curated record.
GGGACCAAUGGCCCGGGGUGGAGGGGGGGGGGUGUUGUUGCAGAGGUUUGGAGCCACUUGUGGGGGUGUAGUACAGCUAAUGGAGUUGGCAGAGAGGGAGGUGUGUGGGGUUGGGAUGGUUUGCUGACCGUGGCGAAUAGUUGCACCAGGUACGGUUAACUUCUGGUACAAACCUGCUGGCUGCUUUAAUCCGUCUCCGUCCACAGCGGAGAGUUGCAGGGUGAGGGAGUGACCUGUGUGAGGGGUUGACAACUGGCACCCCCCACCCCCCAUAUCCCCUCCCGCCCAACCACUGGGAGAACAGCAUUGGGAGAGCAAAGAUUUCCAAGUGCAAAAUCAAUCGAACUUACUACUUUCACCCCCAUCCCAUCCUAUCCCAUCCCACCAAAGAAUAGUUGGUUGCACUGUAUCCAUACAAUGCUAGGUAGUUCCUUGGCAAAUUCCGUCACACUUCCCUCCGAAUGGGCAACUGGUGACACACAAGGGGUAAGGAACAGAAGGAGAUGGGGGGAGAUGGAGAGGUUGGGAGGAGGCUGAAGUAGAGAGAAGCAUCAGCCAGAUACUGAGUGAACUGGUGGCUCAGUCCAAGGGGAAGAGUGAAGCUGGCUGGGAGAAGGAUAAGAUAAGAACAGAGCUUGGAAUGGAGUGUCUGUAUCAGGAGAGUGACACUGAGCUAACCCUGUGGCUGAAAUCUUCGUUCCUUAAACCAUUCCAGUGUUGGAGUCUGUGAUCCGAGCGCUGUGGAGGGACGGCGCUGGUGUUUCAUCACACGGACUGUCUGCUUAUCUGGAGAAGACUUCCACCUCUCCUUUCUCUGCACUGCUCUUUUGCGGGACUAAUUACUGGUGAGCCCUGCAGGUUGUGUCGCUGUUUAUCGCACUGGCAGUGUUUAGUGAUCACUGACUGCGUAGUGCCUUGUCAUGACGGCUGUAACGGCUCGAAGGUGGUGGGACCUACACAGCAGUUGCAGCUCCUGGAGGCAUGGCUCCUGUGAAGAUGUCACCUUUCAGACUGUUGACUUUGUAAAAUGCUGUGCCUCUGUCUGUGCCUCCGUCAGUCAGCCUGGAUGGUGGUUUCCAGGCCAUGUCCGAGACUGUGGGGGGGGGGGGGGAAGCGAGGCAAGUGUUGUUGCGUUUACUUAGAUGUUCUGUAAUAUUGAGUUUUUUGCUGUCUGAGAUGGAAAAUAAUUUGAAGAGUGUGUGAAAUAUGCAAUAAACUAACUGUUAAAAAAAAGGGGCAGUACUGAGGGAGUGCCGUGCUGUGGGAGGGGCAGUACUGAGGGAGGUGCCAUCAUUUGGAUGAUGCAAAACCAGGCGGUGUGUGUCAGGUGGAUGAAAAGACCCCAGGGAUACAAUUAGGGUGGAUAGGAAGUGAGCUUCUGCACAGGGCCCUGGGGCCAAAGUUUACCACCAACCAGUAUCCCAGAUGGACAUCACAACUCUGUGGGAGCUUGCUGUGCACAAAUGGAUUACUCUGUUUCUGCUCUACAACAGUGACCACACUUCAGGAAGGCCCACACUGGCGGUCAGCAGGGGACAUUCUGAAGUGUGCUGGGCACCGGGGGAACACCAAAAAUUUUGGCAUCUCUGACAAAGUGACAAAGUAGGGUUUGUUAUGUAAAGUUCUCAGGGACAAGAGCGUUUUACUGAAAUCCAGUAAAGGCAAGAAAUGGCAAGUUAAG